GACAACAAUAGGACACAGAAGAGUAAAAUGGAAGUAAUAUUACUUAAAGGUAGACUGUAAUAAGUUAAGAUGUUAUAGUAGAUUAAAUGGUGACCAAAAGGAUUUGUCCACAUGCUAAUCCCCAGAACCUGUGAAUGUUAACUUCUUUGGGAAAAAGGUUUUUGCAGAUACAAUUAAAUUAAGGAUCUUGAGAUUAGAUAAUCAUGGAAAAAAGUUUUUGCAGAUAUAAUUAAAUUAAGGAUCUUGAGAUUACAUAAUCGUGGAUUAUCUAGGUGGGUCCUAAAUCUCAUGACAAGCGCCCUUAUAAGAGAGACACAGAGGAGGGAUAGACAGAGAAAGGAGAAAGAAGCAAAGUGACUGUGAAGGUAGAUAUUAAAGUGAUGCAUCCACAAGCCCAGAGAUGCUGGUAGCCACCAGGAGCUUGAAGAGUCAAGAUACAGCUUUCCCUCUAGAACCUCCAGAGGGAACGUGACCCUUCCAACACCUUAAUUUCAGACAUCUAGCCUCCAGAAUUGUGGGAGAAUAAAUUUCUGCUGUUUUAAGCCAAGAAGUUUGUGGUAAUUUGUUACAGCAAUGACAGGAUAUGAAUGCAGAUGUGUAUAUAAAGUCUAGAGCAACCCCUAGGAAAUGAAAAUAACGAAAUACAGUUGGUAAGCCAAUAAUGGAAAUAAAUUCACAUCGCUAAAAAGUCUUCAAUCCAAAAGGAAUAAGAAAAACAUAUGAACAAGGCAAACAGCAAGAUGGCAUUAAUAAUUCCAUUAAAUGUAAAUGGACUAGAGGUACCUAGAAUAGUCAAAUUCACAGAGACAGCAAGUAGAAUAGUGGUUACCGUGGUCUGAGGGAGGGGAGAAAUAGUGGUUACCAUGGCCUGAGGGAGGGGAGAAUGGAGAGUUAGUAUUUCCUGGGUGCAGAGUCUCAGUUUGGGUCGAUGAAAAAGUUCUGGAGAUGGAUGGAGGUGAUGGUUGCACAACAGUAUGAAUGUACUUAAUGCCACUGAAUUGUACACUUAAAAUGGCUAAAACGGUUAAUUUUGUGCUAUGUAUAUUUUGCCACAAUAAAAAAUGUAAGUGGACUAAACCCUCUAAUUAAAAGGCAGAGGUUUCCAGAUUGUACAAAAAGACACAAUUAUUUGUGUCUAUAAGAAACCUACUUUAAACAGACGCAGUUUAAAAAUAUAGAAAAACAUAUACCAUGCUAAUACUAACAGAAAGUUUGAGUGGCUAUAUUAAUAUCAGACAAAGCAGAUUUCAGAGUAAGAGAUAUUACAAGGGAUAAAUGAGACAAAAGGACAUUAUAAUCUUAUAUGAGGUAUGAAACAAAAAUUGAUAGAACUGAAAGGGGAAAUAGUGAAAUGUACAGUUACAGUUGAAGAUUUUAACACUUCUGUCUUGGUAAUUGACAGAAGUAGUAGAGAGAAAAUUAGCAAGGAUAUAGAAGAUCUGAACAACAUAAUCAACCCACUUGACCUAAUUGACAUUUAUGAAACAUUUUGUCCAACAACAGCAGAGCACACAUUCUUUUUCAAGUGCAUACAGAAUAUUUACCAAGAUAGACCAUAAUCCAGUACAUAAAACAAGUCAUAAUGCAUUUUAAGUGAUUUAAAUCAUACAAAGCAUGUUCUCUGACCACAACAAAACCCAAUGCCAAAAGAUAGCUGGAAAAAAAAUCCCAAAAUAUUUGGAAAUUAUACACUUCUAAAUAACCCAUGAGUGAAAGAGGAAGUCACAUUUGAAACUAGAAGAUAUUUUGAACUUCAUGAAGGUGAAAACACAACAUAUUAGUAUCUGUGGGAUGCAGCUAAAGCUGUGCUUAGAAAAAAAAAUCCAGCAUUAAAUAUUUAUAUAAAAGAAAAAUAUUCUCAAAUCAGUGAUCUUAGCUCCCCAAUAUUUUUAAGAUGUCAGUUUUCCCCAGUUUGAUCUAAAGAACACAAUUCCAGUCAAAAUUUCAGCAGGCUUUUUUGCAGAAAAUGACAAACUGAUUCUAAAUUUUAUGUAGAAACCAAAAGAAUUAAAAAGACCUAGAAAAACCAAAAUAAUUUUUGAAAUGAAGAACAAAAUUGGAGGACUUAUUUUUGAAUGUACUAAGGACAUGAGUUGUUGAUACAAGAAACAAUGGAGAUACUCUCAAUAGCAUUAUGCUAAGUGAAAGAAAUCAGACACAAAAAGCAACAUACCAUAGGAUACAGUUUAUAAGAAAUUCUAGACAAGUCUAAAUGAUGGUGACAGAAAACAGAUCAGUGGUCCCCAGGGCCAGGGGCUGGGAGAAGGGAACUGGCUGCAGACAGAUGCAGAAACUUGCAUGGUGAUGGGAAUGUCCCAUGUCUGGAUAACGAUGGUGGUGGUUAUAUGACUGCAUGCAUUUGUCAAAACUCAUCAAAUUGUACACUUCAAACUGGGAAGUUAUUUUUCAAUAAAGCUACAGUAAUUAAAUAAGUCACUUUUUUUUUAAUUGCUGUCAAAUAGAACAAGAGUGAGGACGUGGAACAGCCAGGCAGAGCCAGCCUGCAGCGGAUGGGGCCCAAGCAAGUGAGGACUCAAAGGCCCCAGGAAGUGGGGCUGGAUUUCAGGCUUUUGGGAUGAAGCCAGCUGAGAGAGGCUGAGCCUGUGUCCCCAGAAGCUCCAGGAGAGGAUUUGAGGUGCUGGAGGGGGCAUCGCAAUGGAGGGGGCACCUGAGCAGGUGGAAGGAGCUGGGCUCCAGGUACCUGGUGUGGGAGGAUGCACGUUUCCCAGAGGCAGCCGGGAAGUAGGGUGGGUAUCCAUGAAGAGGGGUGCAUCUGAGUGCUCACGUGGAACACGCUUAUGGGCUUGGGUUUGCCCUGUGAAUUGGGAGCUGAGAAGGGCAGGCAGAUGGGAGGCUAGGUGAAGGGAAGACCCCUCAAGGCCUUCUCACACCCAGACACCAGCUCCCAGGGCUGACCUGGCACUGCGUCCCUGGCUCCCAUCUUGCUCCCCCGAAGGACAUCUGCCUAGGCGCCCCCAGUGGCUGUCAAACUGUGAAAACCCCAGACCCAGAGGCCUCUUCAGGGUCCAGGGAGGAGCAGCAGCCUGGGACUGGAGAUGACCUGAACCCACUAAUCA
This 3077-nucleotide long non-coding RNA is filed under the name Homo sapiens (human). Its description in RNAcentral is "HSALNT0278577". The record is from RNAcentral. Lineage: Eukaryota; Metazoa; Chordata; Mammalia; Primates; Hominidae.